Molecule: transfer RNA, 76 nt
Filed under: Rhodocyclaceae bacterium
Lineage: Bacteria; Pseudomonadati; Pseudomonadota; Betaproteobacteria; Rhodocyclales; Rhodocyclaceae
Also listed under: 1 other name
Description: tRNA-Lys
Rfam family: tRNA
About the family: Transfer RNA (tRNA) molecules are approximately 80 nucleotides in length. Their secondary structure includes four short double-helical elements and three loops (D, anti-codon, and T loops).
Source: RNAcentral
GGGUCGUUAGCUCAGCUGGUAGAGCAGCGGACUUUUAAUCCGUUGGUCGCAGGUUCGAACCCUGCACGACCCACCA